ACCCUCCCGGGGGACGGAUGGGUACACUGUGGAGACCGCCGCUGCUAAAGCGGAGGAAGGAAUGGGCAACGGUAGGUCAGUAUGCCCCGAAUCUCCCGGGCUACACGCGGGCUACAAUGGUUGGUACAAUGGGCAUCUACCCCGAAAGGGGAGGAAAUCUCUUAAAGCCAAUCGUAGUUCGGAUUGAGGGCUGCAACUCGCCCUCAUGAAGCUGGAAUCCGUAGUAAUCGCGUUUCAACAGAACGCGGUGAAUACGUCCCUGCUCCCU
Molecule: ribosomal RNA, 268 nt
Filed under: uncultured Methanosaeta sp.
Lineage: Archaea; Methanobacteriati; Methanobacteriota; Methanomicrobia; Methanotrichales; Methanotrichaceae
Description: partial 16S ribosomal RNA
Rfam family: Archaeal small subunit ribosomal RNA
Source: RNAcentral